CCUACGGGUGACUGCAGUGGGGAAUAUUGCUCAAUGGGGGAAACCCUGAUGCAGCGACGUCGCGUGCAGGAAGACGUAUUUCGGUAUGUUAACUUCCAUCAGCAGGGAAGAAAAUGACGGUACCUGACUAAGAAGCCCCGGCUAACUACGUGCCAGCAGCCGCGGUAAUACGUAUGGGGCAAGCGUUAUCCGGAUUUACUGGGUGUAAAGGGAGCGUAGGCGGCGAUGCAAGUCAGAAGUGAAAGCCCGGGGCUCAACUCCGGGACUGCUUUUGAAACUGUGUUGCUAGAUUGCAGGAGAGGUAAGUGGAAUUCCUAGUGUAGCGGUGAAAUGCGUAGAUAUUAGGAGGAACACCAGUGGCGAAGGCGGCUUACUGGACUGUAAAUGACGCUGAGGCUCGAAAGCGUGGGGAGCAAACAGGAUUAGAUACCCCUGUAGUC
This 440-nucleotide ribosomal RNA is filed under the name uncultured bacterium. RNAcentral's name for it is "partial 16S ribosomal RNA". It matches the Rfam family "Bacterial small subunit ribosomal RNA", at positions 338 to 795 of the family's 1533-position model. The record is from RNAcentral.